Molecule: ribosomal RNA, 253 nt
Filed under: uncultured bacterium
Lineage: Bacteria
Description: partial 16S ribosomal RNA
Rfam family: Bacterial small subunit ribosomal RNA
Source: RNAcentral
UACGUAGGGGGCAAGCGUUAUCCGGAUUUACUGGGUGUAAAGGGAGCGUAGACGGCCAGACAAGUCUGAAGUGAAAAUCCAGCGCUUAACGUUGGAAGUGCUUUGGAAACUGCCGGGCUAGAGUGCAGGAGGGGCAGGCGGAAUUCCUAGUGUAGCGGUGAAAUGCGUAGAUAUUAGGAGGAACACCAGUGGCGAAGGCGGCCUGCUGGACUGCAACUGACGUUGAGGCUCGAAGGCGUGGGGAGUAAACAGG